Molecule: transfer RNA, 66 nt
Filed under: Dibothriocephalus latus
Lineage: Eukaryota; Metazoa; Platyhelminthes; Cestoda; Diphyllobothriidea; Diphyllobothriidae
Description: tRNA-Asn
Source: RNAcentral
GUUUGUGUAGAUUAAUUUAAAUCGUAAUGCUGUUAACGUUAAGAUGAAUGAGUUGUUCCACUGACG